GGUUAAGCGACUAAGCGUACACGGUGGAUGCCCUGGCAGUCAGAGGCGAUGAAGGACGUGCUAAUCUGCGAUAAGCGUCGGUAAGGUGAUAUGAACCGUUAUAACCGGCGAUUUCCGAAUGGGGAAACCCAGUGUGUUUCGACACACUAUCAUUAACUGAAUCCAUAGGUUAAUGAGGCGAACCGGGGGAACUGAAACAUCUAAGUACCCCGAGGAAAAGAAAUCAACCGAGAUUCCCCCAGUAGCGGCGAGCGAACGGGGAGCAGCCCAGAGCCUGAAUCAGUGUGUGUGUUAGUGGAAGCGUCUGGAAAGGCGCGCGAUACAGGGUGACAGCCCCGUACACAAAAAUGCACAUGCUGUGAGCUCGAUGAGUAGGGCGGGACACGUGGUAUCCUGUCUGAAUAUGGGGGGACCAUCCUCCAAGGCUAAAUACUCCUGACUGACCGAUAGUGAACCAGUACCGUGAGGGAAAGGCGAAAAGAACCCCGGCGAGGGGAGUGAAAAAGAACCUGAAACCGUGUACGUACAAGCAGUGGGAGCCUCUUUUAUGGGGUGACUGCGUACCUUUUGUAUAAUGGGUCAGCGACUUAUAUUCUGUAGCAAGGUUAACCGAAUAGGGGAGCCGAAGGGAAACCGAGUCUUAACUGGGCGUUAAGUUGCAGGGUAUAGACCCGAAACCCGGUGAUCUAGCCAUGGGCAGGUUGAAGGUUGGGUAACACUAACUGGAGGACCGAACCGACUAAUGUUGAAAAAUUAGCGGAUGACUUGUGGCUGGGGGUGAAAGGCCAAUCAAACCGGGAGAUAGCUGGUUCUCCCCGAAAGCUAUUUAGGUAGCGCCUCGUGAAUUCAUCUCCGGGGGUAGAGCACUGUUUCGGCAAGGGGGUCAUCCCGACUUACCAACCCGAUGCAAACUGCGAAUACCGGAGAAUGUUAUCACGGGAGACACACGGCGGGUGCUAACGUCCGUCGUGAAGAGGGAAACAACCCAGACCGCCAGCUAAGGUCCCAAAGUCAUGGUUAAGUGGGAAACGAUGUGGGAAGGCCCAGACAGCCAGGAUGUUGGCUUAGAAGCAGCCAUCAUUUAAAGAAAGCGUAAUAGCUCACUGGUCGAGUCGGCCUGCGCGGAAGAUGUAACGGGGCUAAACCAUGCACCGAAGCUGCGGCAGCGACACUAUGUGUUGUUGGGUAGGGGAGCGUUCUGUAAGCCUGUGAAGGUGUACUGUGAGGUAUGCUGGAGGUAUCAGAAGUGCGAAUGCUGACAUAAGUAACGAUAAAGCGGGUGAAAAGCCCGCUCGCCGGAAGACCAAGGGUUCCUGUCCAACGUUAAUCGGGGCAGGGUGAGUCGACCCCUAAGGCGAGGCCGAAAGGCGUAGUCGAUGGGAAACAGGUUAAUAUUCCUGUACUUGGUGUUACUGCGAAGGGGGGACGGAGAAGGCUAUGUUGGCCGGGCGACGGUUGUCCCGGUUUAAGCGUGUAGGCUGGUUUUCCAGGCAAAUCCGGAAAAUCAAGGCUGAGGCGUGAUGACGAGGCACUACGGUGCUGAAGCAACAAAUGCCCUGCUUCCAGGAAAAGCCUCUAAGCAUCAGGUAACAUCAAAUCGUACCCCAAACCGACACAGGUGGUCAGGUAGAGAAUACCAAGGCGCUUGAGAGAACUCGGGUGAAGGAACUAGGCAAAAUGGUGCCGUAACUUCGGGAGAAGGCACGCUGAUAUGUAGGUGAAGUCCCUCGCGGAUGGAGCUGAAAUCAGUCGAAGAUACCAGCUGGCUGCAACUGUUUAUUAAAAACACAGCACUGUGCAAACACGAAAGUGGACGUAUACGGUGUGACGCCUGCCCGGUGCCGGAAGGUUAAUUGAUGGGGUCAGCGCAAGCGAAGCUCUUGAUCGAAGCCCCGGUAAACGGCGGCCGUAACUAUAACGGUCCUAAGGUAGCGAAAUUCCUUGUCGGGUAAGUUCCGACCUGCACGAAUGGCGUAAUGAUGGCCAGGCUGUCUCCACCCGAGACUCAGUGAAAUUGAACUCGCUGUGAAGAUGCAGUGUACCCGCGGCAAGACGGAAAGACCCCGUGAACCUUUACUAUAGCUUGACACUGAACAUUGAGCCUUGAUGUGUAGGAUAGGUGGGAGGCUUGGAAGUGUGGACGCCAGUCUGCAUGGAGCCGACCUUGAAAUACCACCCUUUAAUGUUUGAUGUUCUAACGUGGACCCGUGAUCCGGGUUGCGGACAGUGUCUGGUGGGUAGUUUGACUGGGGCGGUCUCCUCCUAAAGAGUAACGGAGGAGCACGAAGGUUGGCUAAUCCUGGUCGGACAUCAGGAGGUUAGUGCAAUGGCAUAAGCCAGCUUGACUGCGAGCGUGACGGCGCGAGCAGGUGCGAAAGCAGGUCAUAGUGAUCCGGUGGUUCUGAAUGGAAGGGCCAUCGCUCAACGGAUAAAAGGUACUCCGGGGAUAACAGGCUGAUACCGCCCAAGAGUUCAUAUCGACGGCGGUGUUUGGCACCUCGAUGUCGGCUCAUCACAUCCUGGGGCUGAAGUAGGUCCCAAGGGUAUGGCUGUUCGCCAUUUAAAGUGGUACGCGAGCUGGGUUUAGAACGUCGUGAGACAGUUCGGUCCCUAUCUGCCGUGGGCGCUGGAGAACUGAGGGGGGCUGCUCCUAGUACGAGAGGACCGGAGUGGACGCAUCACUGGUGUUCGGGUUGUCAUGCCAAUGGCACUGCCCGGUAGCUAAAUGCGGAAGAGAUAAGUGCUGAAAGCAUCUAAGCACGAAACUUGCCCCGAGAUGAGUUCUCCCUGACUCCUUGAGAGUCCUGAAGGAACGUUGAAGACGACGACGUUGAUAGGCCGGGUGUGUAAGCGCAGCGAUGCGUUGAGCUAACCGGUACUAAUGAACCGUGAGGCUUAACCUU
Molecule: ribosomal RNA, 2903 nt
Filed under: Escherichia coli
Lineage: Bacteria; Pseudomonadati; Pseudomonadota; Gammaproteobacteria; Enterobacterales; Enterobacteriaceae
Description: 23S ribosomal RNA
Rfam family: Bacterial large subunit ribosomal RNA
Source: RNAcentral